AGGACAUAUUCUUUGUCCUCAUAGCGGGUAAUCAUCCUGAUGUUUCUGAUCCACUCAUUAAAGUUGGAUCCAUCAAAGAUGACCUUACCACACAAGUUCAUUAGGGAAAAGGAGCCUGUCGGGUUUGAGCCAGCAGCGUUAUUGGAAGACAUCUAGAAUAAAAGGAAGAUAAGUUUCAUUAGAUUAAGAGUCCUUAAUAAGUCACCCAAAUGAAAUAUUAAGGCUAGGAUCCAACAAACUAUUUAUAGGUGGAAGAGGGAUGCCGUAAUCCACACUAUAAAAUAUUUGAAGGUAGGUAAAUGACGAUUUACCAAUUUCCACCAUAAGAACGAAAUAUUUUAUUAUUAGGUUUUAUUGGUUUUGAAACUCCUAGAUCUUUUGAGAUACAUUGAACUUUUCAAUGGCAUGUUUGAAUCUCGAAUGUGCCCUCUCAAGUUUGUGACUGGGAUGCCAAGGAUCACAAACAAGGUGUGAAUAACCAUACAAAUUGACUUGGUACCCUUAACAAUAUUACCUAAUCGAUGUGCCGGUUAACCACACACGCUCCACCGAUCUAUAAUAAAGUCAAGUUACCCUUUUCCACUCUUACUAGUCCAUGUUAGUGUGCCGGUUAACCACACACGCUCCACUAACGACUUGGUAAGGUACAAAGUGUAAUUUUAUGGGCUAGCACCAAAUUCACAUUUUCCUAAAGUAACUAAGACUGGGAAUUUAUAAUGUAUAGUUACUUUAUAAUUCAUUAUACUUUUAAUGAGAAUUUAAAGUUGUAUCCUACCCGUUCGGUUAACGACCCUCCACCGAUCAAGGAAGCGGUGGGUGAGAGUGGACACCCAUUAAGUCAUUAUUUUAUAGGCAAAAGCCUUAUACCCCCCUUAUAGACCGUCUUCGUGAAUGAGGCCUACUAACGGUAAGAAUGACAUAUUCUUAUACAUAUCUAUAUAAUAAGAUUAUAAUAAUAGUAUAAGUGUUGAUUUUUAAACUUUUUAAAAAUAUAAGGUUUAAUUUUGGAAUUAAAGUAUUAAAGUGUAAGACUUUUCAAAUUCCAAAACUUGAGGGCAAGAAUUGAAACUAUUCGAAGUCUCUUCGAUUUGUAACUUAUGAGUUUUAAUGGUUCAUAAAAAUGAAGACUCUUCAUGUUAUGAAACCUCUUUAGUUCUUUAAUAACAAUUUAAAGAAGUGACUUUUGGUUAUCCAUAACUUGAGGACAAGUUAUGAACACCAUCAUUACCAUUAAGAUCAUGAAUUAAACACACAUGGACGUUACACAUAGUUCCUAUGAUCUUCUAAAACUCAUAAGAGCAUAAAUUCAUAUCAAGCAAUUUCAAGAAAUCAUAUAAACAUAUACAAUACUUGAAAAUUAAUAAAAGUCAUGUAAAAUGGGUUAACAUAAUCAUUAUCAUUUUGAAAAACAGAUUUUACAAGUCCAAAAUAGAUUGGGAUAAUGAUCUUAAUCCAUUUCCAGCAACAAAACACGAAAACACUGCCCAGCACGCACCGAAUCGUCGAGUGCAUGAUCCUACUCGACGAGUAGGAUGCAUUUGUUCAUGGACUCGGUGAGUCCUCCCCAUGAACUCGGCGAGUNNNNNNNNNNNNNNNNNNNNNNNNNNNNNNNNNNNNNNNNNNNNNNNNNNNNNNNNNNNNNNNNNNNNNNNNNNNNNNNNNNNNNNNNNNNNNNNNNNNNUUGACUUGGUACCCUUAACAAUAUUACCUAAUCGAUGUGCCGGUUCACCACACAUACUCCACCGAUCUAUAAUAAAGUCAAGUUACCAUUUUCCACUCUUACUAGUCCAUGUUAGUGUGCCGGUUAACCACACACGCUCCACUAAUGACUUGGUAAGGUACAAAGUGUAAUUUUAUGGGCUAGCACCUUUUCACAUUUUCCUAAGUAACUAAGAUUGGGAAUUUAUAAGUGUUUAGUUACUUAGUAUUUUUCAUUAUACUUUUAAUGAAGGGAGAAUUAUAGUCCAUUCCUACCCGUUCGGCUAACGACCCUCCACCAAUCAAG
This 2005-nucleotide long non-coding RNA is filed under the name Lactuca sativa (garden lettuce). RNAcentral's name for it is "long non-coding RNA (LSAT_LNC005179)". The record is from RNAcentral. Lineage: Eukaryota; Viridiplantae; Streptophyta; Magnoliopsida; Asterales; Asteraceae.